Molecule: long non-coding RNA, 312 nt
Filed under: Brachypodium distachyon (stiff brome)
Lineage: Eukaryota; Viridiplantae; Streptophyta; Magnoliopsida; Poales; Poaceae
Description: long non-coding RNA (BDIS_LNC001567)
Source: RNAcentral
GCGGUGGCGAGGGAGGAGUGGUGGAGGAGCUGGUCGGCGGUGGAGACGAGGGCGGCGCGGGCGAGGGAGAGGGAGGCGGCGACGUCGAGCGUCUCGGUGGUGGUGGUGGUGUCCGGAGGCGCGUGGCGGCGGGCGAGCGCCGGCGAGGCCAGGGCUAGGAGGAAGAGGAAGAGGAGGAGGAGAGGGAGCUGCAUUGUUGGUUGGUCGGAGCGGUGGUUGGGGAGGAGUCAAGACUGGAGAAGACCCACGCACACACUGUGGUGUGGGGGAAUGAAUGUGUGGAUCGAUGGUGGAUGGAAUGAAAAGAAGGGG